This 1981-nucleotide ribosomal RNA is filed under the name human metagenome. RNAcentral's name for it is "bacterial LSU rRNA". It matches the Rfam family "Bacterial large subunit ribosomal RNA", at positions 1 to 1980 of the family's 2925-position model. The record is from RNAcentral.
UUAAAUUUGUAAGGGCGUAUGGUGGAUGCCUUGGCAUUAGAAGCUGAUGAAGGACGUGACUAACUACGAUAUGCUUCGGGGAGAUGUACGUAAUCUUUGAUCCGGAGAUUUCCGAAUGGGGGAACCCACUAGUGGUAAUGCACUAGUAUCACAUAAUGAAUAUAUAGUUAUGUAGAAAGCAACCCAGUGAACUGAAACAUCUUAGUAACUGGAGGAACAGAAAGAAAAAUCGAUUUCCUUAGUAGUGGCGAGCGAAACGGAAAGAGCCCAAACCGACUUUAGAGUCGGGGUUGUAGGACCUCUCUAUAAGAGUUACAAAUUCAUAACAUAGUUGAACUUUUCUGGAAAGUUAGACGAAACAAGGUGACAGUCCUGUAAACGAAAUGUUAUGAACUCUUUGAGGUAUCCUGAGUACAACGAGACACGAGAAAUCUUGUUGGAAUCUGCGGGGACCAUCCCGUAAGGCUAAAUACUCUCUAAUGACCGAUAGUGAACAAGUACCGUGAGGGAAAGGUGAAAAGAACCCCGGGAGGGGAGUGAAAUAGAAACUGAAACCGUAUGCUUACAAAAAGUUCGAGCACAUUAAUGUGUGAGAGCGUGCCUUUUGCAGAAUGAACCGGCGAGUUAUUGUAUUAUGCAAGGUUAAGUCGAACAGAUGGAGCCGAAGCGAAAGCGAGUCUGAAUAGGGCGCUUAAGUAUGAUGCAAUAGACCCGAAACCGAGUGAUCUAGCCAUGAGCAGGUUGAAGUUGGGGUAAGACCCAAUGGAGGACCGAACCGAUAUGCCCGGAAACGCGUACGGAUGACUUGUGGUUAGCGGAGAAAUUCCAAACGAACUCGGAGAUAGCUGGUUCUCCCCGAAAUAGGUUUAGGCCUAGCCUUGAUUGAAUCUGCCCGGAGGUAGAGCACUGAAUGUGCGAUGGCGUCGUCUAGAUGUACUGAGUACAAUCAAACUCCGAAUGCUGGGUAGUACUAAUCAGGAGUCACUGUAUGGGUGAUAACGUCCAUACGGGAGAGGAAAAGAAUCCGGAUCGCCAGCUAAGGUCCCAAAAUUUGUGUUAAGUGGGAAAGGAUGUAGAGUUGUCAAAACAGCUAGGAGGUUGGCUUAGAAGCAGCCACCCUUUAAAGAGUGCGUAAUAGCUCACUAGUCGAGUGACACUGCGCCGAAGAUGUACCGGGGCUAAACACAAUACCGAAGCUGCGGACUUGCAUGUAAGUGCAAGUGGUAGGGGAGCGUUCUAAGUGCUGAGAAGGUAGACCGUAAGGACUGCUGGAGCGCUUAGAAGUGAGAAUGCCGGUGUGAGUAACGAAAAUUGGGUGAGAAUCCCAUUCACCGUUUGACUAAGGGUUCCUGGGUAAAGUUCGUCUUCCCAGGGUAAGUCAGGACCUAAGAUGAGGCUGAAAAGCGUAGUCGAUGGACAACAGGUUGAUAUUCCUGUACCACCUAUAUGACUGAAGGAGUGACGGAGAAAGCUAGUGAGAGCCAGUUAAUGGAUUCUGGUCUAAGUGCGUAGGCUAGUAUGUUGGCAAAUCCGCAAUACUAUAACAGCUGAAACAUGAUGGGGAAGAGAGUCUUCGGACAAUCGAACUUUCAUGAUGCUAUGCUUCCAAGAAAAGCUUCUAGGGUUAAUCGUAUAGGUGCCUGUACCGACAACCGACACAGGUGGUCAAGGAGAGUAUCCUAAGGUGAGCGAGAGAACUAUGGUUAAGGAACUCGGCAAAAUGACCCCGUAACUUCGGGAGAAGGGGUGGUCUAGCGAUAGACCCGCAGUGAAUAGGCCCAGGCAACUGUUUACCAAAAACACAGGUCUCUGCUAACACGUAAGUGGAUGUAUAGGGGCUGACGCCUGCCCAGUGCUGGAAGGUUAAAGAGAUUAGUUAGUAUGACGUAAGUCGAUAAUACGAAGCUUUGAACUGAAGCCCCAGUGAACGGCGGCCGUAACUAUAACGGUCCUAAGGUAGCGAAAUUCCUUGUCAGGUAAG